Molecule: small nuclear RNA, 108 nt
Filed under: Bison bison bison
Lineage: Eukaryota; Metazoa; Chordata; Mammalia; Artiodactyla; Bovidae
Source: RNAcentral
GUGCUAGACGCUUCAAUAGCACAUAUACUAAUACUCGAAUAAUACAGAGAUUAGCAUGGCCCCUGCACAAGGAUGACACACAAAUUUGGAGAAGUGUUCCCUAUUUCU